RNAcentral lists this ribosomal RNA (70 nucleotides) under Sporosarcina sp. HYO08. Its description in RNAcentral is "partial 16S ribosomal RNA". It matches the Rfam family "Bacterial small subunit ribosomal RNA", at positions 1 to 68 of the family's 1533-position model. The record is from RNAcentral. Lineage: Bacteria; Bacillati; Bacillota; Bacilli; Caryophanales; Caryophanaceae.
CUAUUAUGGAGAGUUUGAUCCUGGCUCAGGACGAACGCUGGCGGCGUGCCUAAUACAUGCAAGUCGAGCG